This 75-nucleotide microRNA precursor is filed under the name Myotis lucifugus (little brown bat). RNAcentral describes it as "miRNA (ENSMLUG00000021267.1)". The record is from RNAcentral. Lineage: Eukaryota; Metazoa; Chordata; Mammalia; Chiroptera; Vespertilionidae.
GGAAUCUUGCUAAAAUGCAGAUUCUGAUUCAGUAGGUCUGGGAUGGGGCCCACAUUCUGCAUUUAUAACAAGCUC